RNAcentral lists this ribosomal RNA (460 nucleotides) under uncultured bacterium. RNAcentral describes it as "partial 16S ribosomal RNA". It matches the Rfam family "Bacterial small subunit ribosomal RNA", at positions 338 to 795 of the family's 1533-position model. The record is from RNAcentral.
CCUACGGGAGGCAGCAGUGAGGAAUAUUGGUCAAUGGACGAGAGUCUGAACCAGCCAAGUAGCGUGAAGGAUGACUGCCCUGUGGGUUGUAAACUUCUUUUAUCUGGGAAUAAAAUGUUCCACGUGUGGGAUGUUGUAUGUACCAUAUGAAUAAGGAUCGGCUAACUCCGUGCCAGCAGCCGCGGUAAUACGGAGGAUCCGAGCGUUAUCCGGAUUUAUUGGGUUUAAAGGGAGCGUAGGUGGAUUGUUAAGUCAGUUGUGAAAGUUUGCGGCUCAACCGUAAAAUUGCAGUUGAAACUGGCAGUCUUGAGUACAGUCGAGGAGGGCGGAAUUCAUGGUGUAGCGGUGAAAUGCUUAGAUAUCACGAAGAACUCCGAUUGCGAAGGCAGCUCACUGGACUGCAACUGACACUGAGGCUCGAAAGUGUGGGUAUCAAACAGGAUUAGAUACCCCAGUAGUC